Molecule: ribosomal RNA, 1932 nt
Filed under: Candidatus Zixiibacteriota bacterium
Lineage: Bacteria; Pseudomonadati; Candidatus Zixiibacteriota
Description: bacterial LSU rRNA
Rfam family: Bacterial large subunit ribosomal RNA
Source: RNAcentral
CCGUUCCGACCUUGUCGGAACGGAUCGUAGAUUGGUGACUGUCACCGUAAGGUGUUGUGAAACAGCAGAUUAUAAUCAAGUACCCACCAUCAUCCAGAAAAAGUCAGUCAACUUGAGUUAGAUACUAGAUUUUUGGUCGCAGAUUCCACAUGAAACCCGUGGUAUCUUUUAUCUAGUAUCCGGUGAGUGGACCAAUGUCUAAAAUCCAAUGUCCAGGCGAGUGGUAGAGGAGCGUCCUGCAUGGCUAGAAGCCGUACCGCAAGGAGCGGUGGACCGUGCAGGAGUGAUUAUCCCGGCACAAGUAACGAUAAAACAGGUGAGAAUCCUGUUCGCCGAAAGCCUAAGGUUUCCUGGGGAAGGCAAGUCCGCCCAGGGUUAGUCGGCCCCUUACCCGAGGUCGAAAGACGUAGGGGAUGGACAGCAGGUCAACAUUCCUGCACCACCAUUGUCAGCGAUGGGGGGACGCGGCUUUGAAGGUCAGCGAGCUGAUAGUGCCUCGUGAGGGCCCGAGGGGCGCUGUAGGUAAAUCCGCAGCAACAAGCCCCGGAGGCUGGACGUGAUCCGCCUACGGGCGGAAGAAGUGAUUGGAUAAGUCGCCCAGAAAAGCCUCUAAGCAUAUGUCAAUGGUGACCGUACUAAAACCGACACAGGUAGGCAGGGUGAGUAUCCCAAGGCGCGCGAGAGAACCGUCGGGAAGGAACUCGGCAAAUUGACCCCGUAAGUUCGCGAUAAGGGGUGCCGCUGGUCGUGAUCCACCUUGCGUGGUGAGCGAACGGCGGCCGCAGAGAAAUGGGUCUGGCAACUGUUUACCAAAAACACAGGUCUCUGCCAACACCAUAAGGUGGAUGUAUAGAGACUGACGCCUGCCCGAUGCCGGAAGGUCAAGGGGAAGGGUUAGUUCUCCCGAUUCUCGGGAGAGCGAAGCUCAUAACCGAAGCCCCGGUGAAUGGCGGCCGUAACUAUAACGGCCCUAAGGUAGCGAAGUUCCUUGUCGGGUAAGUUCCGACCUGCAUGAAUGGCGUAAUGACUGGACCACUGUCUCCCCGACGGACUCGGCGAACCUGUAGCCGCGGUGAAGAUGCCGCGUACCCGCACCAAGACGGAAAGACCCCGUGAAGCUUUACUGCAGGCUAAUAUUGGGUUUUAGCCUGGCAUGCGUAGCAUAGGUGGGAGGCGUUGAAGCCUUGCUUUUGGGCGAGGCGGAGCCAACAGUGAAAUACCACUCUUGCCAUGUUGACAUCCUAACUGCGUGCCGUUAUCCGGUCGCAGGACAGUGUUAGUCGGGCAGUUUGACUGGGGCGGUCUCCUCCCAAAGAGUAACGGAGGAGUGCAAAGGCACCCUCAGCACGGUUGGCAAUCGUGCGUAGAGCGCAAAGGUACAAGGGUGCUUGACUGCGAGGCCCAUAAGCCGAGCAGAUGUGAAAGCAGGCCUUAGUGACCCAACGGUCCCGUGUGGAAGGGCCGCUGAUCAACAGAUAAAAGCUACUCCGGGGAUAACAGGCUUAUCUCCCCUAAGAGUCCACAUCGCCGGGGAGGUUUGGCACCUCGAUGUCGGCUCAUCGCAUCCUGGGGGUGAAGGCGCUCCCAAGGGUUCGGCUGUCCGCCGAUUAAAGCGGUACGUGAGCUGGGUUCAGACCGUCGUGAGACAGGUCGGUCCCUAUCUGGUGUGGGUGUAGGAUACCUGAGGAGAGCUCUCCCUAGUACGAGAGGACUGGGAGGGACGGACCCCUGGUGUUCCGGUUAUCCUGCUAAGGGUACAGCCGGGUAGCUAAGUCCGGAUGAGAUAAGCGCUGAAAGCAUAUAAGCGCGAAGCCAACUCCAAAACUAGGUAUCCCCAUGAGCCUCCUGGCAGACCACCAGGUUGAUAGGCCGGGUGUGUAAGUGCAGCAAUGCACUCAGCUAACCGGUACUAAUCAGGCCAUCGGCUUGACC